UAAUACGAACUGUGCAAACGUUAUUCGGAAUCACUGGGCUUACAGGGUGCGUAGGCGGUCUGUUAAGUAGGGUGUGAAAGCCCCCGGCUCAACCGGGGAAUUGCGCCCUAAACUGGCGGACUGGAGUGAGAUAGGGGUGUGCGGAACUUCCGGUGGAGCGGUGAAAUGUGUUGAUAUCGGAAGGAACGCCGGUGGCGAAAGCGGCACACUGGAUCUCAACUGACGCUGAGGCACGAAAGCCAGGGGAGCGAACGGGAUUAGAUACCCCGGUAGUCCUGGCUGUAAACGAUGAGCACUAGCUGGGAGGGACGUAGGUCCUUCCCAACGGAGCGAAAGUGUUAAGUGCUCCGCCUGGGGAGUAUGGUCGCAAGGCU
This 374-nucleotide ribosomal RNA is filed under the name uncultured bacterium. RNAcentral's name for it is "bacterial SSU rRNA". It matches the Rfam family "Bacterial small subunit ribosomal RNA", at positions 521 to 895 of the family's 1533-position model. The record is from RNAcentral.